AUGUGUGAUCAUGCAAUCCUGACAAGAUUAGGGUAUACUGUGCGACGAAGAAAGAUAUAUAAAUUAGUUCCAUUUUUUCACUGUUUCUUUUGCAAUCGUAUAUCAUCUUAAUUAGAUCCUGAACUUUGUUCCUAUAUUCCAUUUAAACAUCGAAAGAGAUAAAUAAACGUUUGCAAAUUCUGUUCAGUAAAUAAAACCACUAACGUGAUACUUGUUAAAUAAUUUCAGUAAUUUCUGUGGAAUCAAAUAAAUUUAUUUUUUAUUAAUAUUAUUCAGAAAAGGAUUGCUUUUGGUGCAACAUCAGGAAUCCUCAACCUUUCUGAGAAUUUCGAAGAGUUUCAGUUACGUCUUAUUGUUACGUUCUAUUUAGUUGACGACGAGAAGGUAGCGUUAACUGACAUUUAAUGUAACUGGCAAUAAGUUCCACUUUCGACUAACCUGCUAUGUGCGGGAACACUGGCACGGGAGAGGAUUAAAGUUGUUCCAAAGUAAAUUAACAAUAUGUAAUGAUUUAUUCAAACCUUCCUCGAUUUCGAUAUUGACAAUUGACUGACAGACUGACGGAUAUAAAAUUUUUCGGUUGACAAAAUGGUAAUUCUUUGCUUGACAAAAUGAUGAUUCUUCGAUUGACAAAAUGAUAACUAACUCUUCAACUCUUAUUCGGUUGACGAAGGGUAAUUAAUUAUUGAUUUCUCUGAGUCGCUACAUUUAUUUAUAUCUGUCGGAAAUGAAGAAACGUCGGGGUCUUUCUUUUGAAAAUGUUUGGGAAGAUCCCCAAUGUUUGUUCAAACUGCCGACUUUGUUUACAAUUUAAAUUGUCUUACUAUCGUUAUAAAAAUAUAGUUAGAUAAGUUUUCGCAAGAUAUAGCUUUUAACAGCUUUACACUUUUCAUUUCAAAUACUGUAAACAUGAUUUCAAAUAAACGUUUUAAAUUACCUUGA
This is a long non-coding RNA of Bombus terrestris (buff-tailed bumblebee), 942 nucleotides long. RefSeq lists it as uncharacterized. NCBI's taxonomy places the organism in Eukaryota, Metazoa, Arthropoda, Insecta, Hymenoptera, Apidae. The transcript has 2 exons. The record is from RefSeq and is a predicted model, not a curated record.